Hyla sarda is the source of this 374-nucleotide long non-coding RNA. RefSeq lists it as uncharacterized. Lineage: Eukaryota; Metazoa; Chordata; Amphibia; Anura; Hylidae. The record is from RefSeq and is a predicted model, not a curated record. The transcript is spliced from 3 exons.
GUUGAAGGCAGUAACCCCGCCUUUGCCAGUUAAGUGCUAAUUUUAAUACACAGAAAAAGACCUGUAACGGGCAAACGGCGCAGCGGAUCCGGGCAAGAUUUUUCCCAGGUUGCAAUGCAGCCGAGACCUGACUCACUAGUCAGCUGAUGGCAGGGAGCCUGUCUGCUUCAAUGGGUGGAAUGAUCGCUUUGUGGGAGAGAGAUCCAUCUACAACUAAUUCAACAGCUGUAGGCACCAUGAUUGAAAACCACAGAAAAUAUCCCGGAAACAACUCCGAACCGUUAUCAAAAACUAAUUCACCUUGGAUCCUAUUGGAUUUUUAAGCUUGCCACAUUGACCCACCAGGGGCUUAAUGAAUCAAUAGAGAAUGUUCG